This 513-nucleotide ribosomal RNA is filed under the name uncultured Diversisporaceae. RNAcentral describes it as "SSU rRNA". It matches the Rfam family "Eukaryotic small subunit ribosomal RNA", at positions 569 to 1078 of the family's 1831-position model. The record is from RNAcentral. Lineage: Eukaryota; Fungi; Glomeromycota; Glomeromycetes; Diversisporales.
AGCAGCCGCGGUAAUUCCAGCUCCAAUAGCGUAUAUUAAAGUUGUUGCAGUUAAAAAGCUCGUAGUUGAACUUCGGGGUCUACCCAUUGGUCAGGCUUAAUUGUCUGCACUGGUGAGAUGGAUCUCUACCUUCUGAGGAACUUUCAUGCCAUUUAUUUGGUGUGAUGGGAAAUCAGGACUGUUACUUUGAAAAAAUUAGAGUGUUUAAAGCAGACUAUCGUCUGAAUACAUUAGCAUGGAAUAAUGAAAUAGGACGGACUGAUUCUAUUUCGUUGGUUUCUAGGAUCACCGUAAUGAUUAAUAGGGAUAGUUGGGGGCAGUUAGUAUUCAAUUGUCAGAGGUGAAAUUCUUGGAUUUAUGAAGACUAACGUACUGCGAAAGCAUUUGCCAAGGAUGUUUUCAUUAAUCAAGAACGAAAGUUAGGGGAUCGAAGACGAUCAGAUACCGUCGUAGUCUUAACCNUAAACUAUGCCGACUAGGGAUCGGACGAAGUUAAUUUUAUAAAUGAACGCG